GGAGGAAAGCAGGGGAUCGCAAGACCUUGCGCUUUUGGAGCGGCCGAUGUCUGAUUAGCUAGUUGGUGAGGUAAAGGCUUACCAAGGCGUCGAUCAGUAGCUGGUCUGAGAGGACGACCAGCCACACUGGGACUGAGACACGGCCCAGACUCCUACGGGAGGCAGCAGUGGGGAAUUUUGGACAAUGGGGGAAACCCUGAUCCAGCCAUGCCGCGUGAGUGAAGAAGGCCUUCGGGUUGUAAAGCUCUUUCAGCCGGAACGAAACGGUCACGGCUAAUACCCGUGAUCACUGACGGUACCGGAAGAAGAAGCACCGGCUAACUACGUGCCAGCAGCCGCGGUAAUACGUAGGGUGCAAGCGUUAAUCGGAAUUACUGGGCGUAAAGCGUGCGCAGGCGGUUUUGUAAGUCAGAUGUGAAAUCCCCGGGCUUAACCUGGGAACUGCGUUUGAAACUACAAAGCUAG
This 465-nucleotide ribosomal RNA is filed under the name uncultured beta proteobacterium. RNAcentral's name for it is "bacterial SSU rRNA". It matches the Rfam family "Bacterial small subunit ribosomal RNA", at positions 198 to 644 of the family's 1533-position model. Lineage: Bacteria; Pseudomonadati; Pseudomonadota; Betaproteobacteria. The record is from RNAcentral.